Molecule: ribosomal RNA, 396 nt
Filed under: uncultured bacterium
Lineage: Bacteria
Description: partial 16S ribosomal RNA
Rfam family: Bacterial small subunit ribosomal RNA
Source: RNAcentral
AUACGUAGGGGGCAAGCGUUAUCCGGAUUUACUGGGUGUAAAGGGAGCGCAGACGGCAGUGCAAGUCUGAUGUGAAAGCCCGGGGCUCAACCCCGGAACUGCAUUGGAAACUGUACAGCUUGAGUGUCGGAGAGGUAAGCGGAAUUCCUAGUGUAGCGGUGAAAUGCGUAGAUAUUAGGAGGAACACCGGUGGCGAAGGCGGCUUACUGGACGAUUACUGACGUUGAGGCUCGAAAGCGUGGGGAGCAAACAGGAUUAGAUACCCUGGUAGUCCACGCUGUAAACGAUGAAUACUAGGUGUAGGUGUGCACUGCACAUCUGUGCCGCAGCUAACGCAAUAAGUAUUCCACCUGGGGAGUACGUUCGCAAGAAUGAAACUCAAAGGAAUUGACGGGG